UGGUGAACUCAGCGCGGUGUCAACGUUCCAUGGCGGGGUCGAGAUUUAAAUCCCCGGGGGCUUAACGACGAAACUGCCCUUGUUUAAAAUGUUCGGUAAAAUGAAGAGACACCGGGACGAUCGCGUUCAAUGACAGGAGGAGCUCGGAAACUCACGGAGAAAGGACAAUGCCCUCCUGUAAGCUGUGUGGAAAAGACUCCGGGAGAAAGUCGUCUUUUAAACCUCACCAAGAAGAGUAGAUCUACGAACCAGUAAGACUCAUUUUUCUUAUUACUCUUUAUGGAUGGCCGCCGCGCCGCUUUCUCACAAACACGCACACAUGCACGCACACUGAUCAUUACAUCCUCCCUCUCUUUGUCUUUGACUGUGCAUUGAAGUUGAAUUGUCCAUGACCGCCGUGUCAUGACUGCAGCUUGAAAUGUUUUAUGUGCUUUAUGUGUCUUUGCUUGACUGCUUUUUUUUUGUUUGUUUUUUUUUGUUUUUUUUUAAACAUCCGUUUAACCGACAUAGCCUUAGUUUGCGUAUCCAAUUUGACCCUGGCCACCCAUUAUUUCGUCUUUGUCCAAAAUGGCCACCCAUCCCUUUGUCUCUUGUUUGUCUUUUCUAUUUCUCUCUUUUUCUUCACUGUUGAAGAAUAGAUAGUUGACCUCUUAAUUGUGUCGGGAGGGCACC
Lates calcarifer (barramundi perch) is the source of this 672-nucleotide long non-coding RNA. RefSeq lists it as uncharacterized. NCBI's taxonomy places the organism in Eukaryota, Metazoa, Chordata, Actinopteri, Centropomidae. The record is from RefSeq and is a predicted model, not a curated record. The transcript is spliced from 3 exons.